This 447-nucleotide ribosomal RNA is filed under the name uncultured bacterium. RNAcentral's name for it is "bacterial SSU rRNA". It matches the Rfam family "Bacterial small subunit ribosomal RNA", at positions 330 to 794 of the family's 1533-position model. The record is from RNAcentral.
CCCAGACUCCUACGGGAGGCAGCAGUGGGGAAUAUUGCACAAUGGGGGAAACCCUGAUGCAGCGACGCCGCGUGAGUGAGGAAGUAUUUCGGUAUGUAAAGCUCUAUCAGCAGGGAAGAAAAUGACGGUACCUGACUAAGAAGCCCCGGCUAACUACGUGCCAGCAGCCGCGGUAAUACGUAGGGGGCAAGCGUUAUCCGGAUUCACUGGGUGUAAAGGGAGCGUAGACGGCCAUGCAAGCCUGGAGUGAAAGCCCGGGGCCCAACCCCGGGACUGCUCUGGGAACUGUGCGGCUGGAGCGCGGGAGGGGCAGGCGGAAUUCCUGGUGUAGCGGUGAAAUGCGUAGAUAUCAGGAGGAACACCGGCGGCGAAGGCGGCCUGCUGGACCGCGACUGACGUUGAGGCUCGAAAGCGUGGGGAGCAAACAGGAUUAGAUACCCUGGUAUC